UGGGGAAUUUUGGACAAUGGGGGCAACCCUGAUCCAGCCAUGCCGCGUGCGGGAAGAAGGCCUUCGGGUUGUAAACCGCUUUUGUCAGGGAAGAAAUCUUUCGGGUCAAUACCCCGGGGGGAUGACGGUACCUGGAGAAUAAGCACCGGCUAACUACGUGCCAGCAGCCGCGGUAAUACGUAGGGUGCAAGCGUUAAUCGGAAUUACUGGGCGUAAAGCGUGCGCAGGCGGUCGUGCAAGACAGAUGUGAAAUCCCCGGGCUCAACCUGGGAACUGCAUUUGUGACUGCACGACUGGAGUGCGGCAGAGGGGGAUGGAAUUCCGCGUGUAGCAGUGAAAUGCGUAGAUAUGCGGAGGAACACCGAUGGCGAAGGCAAUCCCCUGGGCCUGCACUGACGCUCA
This 402-nucleotide ribosomal RNA is filed under the name uncultured bacterium. RNAcentral's name for it is "bacterial SSU rRNA". It matches the Rfam family "Bacterial small subunit ribosomal RNA", at positions 355 to 749 of the family's 1533-position model. The record is from RNAcentral.